Molecule: ribosomal RNA, 459 nt
Filed under: uncultured Latescibacterota bacterium
Lineage: Bacteria; Pseudomonadati; Candidatus Latescibacterota
Description: bacterial SSU rRNA
Rfam family: Bacterial small subunit ribosomal RNA
Source: RNAcentral
CACAAGCGGUGGAGCAUGUUGCUUAAUUCGACGCAACGCGAAGAACUUACCGGGGCUUGACGUGUACUGGAAGUGCUCAGAGAUGAGUUACGCUCUUCGGAGCUGGUACAUUAGGUGCUGCACGGCUGUCGCCAGCUCGUGCCGUGAGGUGUUGGGUUAAGUCCUCUAACGAGCGCAACCCCUUUCCACAGUUGCCAACAGGUAAUGCUGGGAACUCUGUGGACACUGCCGGUGACAAACCGGAGGAAGGUGGGGAUGACGUCAAGUCAUCGUGGCCCUUACGUCCCGGGCUGCAAACGUGCUACAAUGGCUGGUACAAAGGGAAGCGAGCCCGCGAGGUGGAGCAAAUCCCAAAAAACCGGCCUCAGUUCAGAUUGCAGUCUGCAACUCGACUGCAUGAAGUCGGAAUCGCUAGUAAUCGUGGAUCAGCAUGCCACGGUGAAUACGUUCCCGGGUCUU